This 206-nucleotide unclassified non-coding RNA is filed under the name Hevea brasiliensis (rubber tree). Lineage: Eukaryota; Viridiplantae; Streptophyta; Magnoliopsida; Malpighiales; Euphorbiaceae. The record is from RNAcentral.
GGGAACUACCCAUCUUGCAAGAGGGAGUUUCCAAUAUGGAAUAUAAAAAGUCGACCGAUGUUCAGCUUCAAAAAGAGUCCCAUAAACAGCCUUAAUCACAGGGGAUUCCUUAGAGAUAGAUCCAAAGUCAUAGUUGAAGACACCCAGCCCGAUAAUAUCAAGUGCCAGAUUAGAAAAUUCUGCUUCCAGGUCCAUCUCAAGUUCCU